GACGAACGCUGGCGGCGUGCUUAACACAUGCAAGUCGAACGGAAAGGCCUGCUUUCCCUUGUGGCUUGCGGGUACUCGAGUGGCGAACGUGUGAGUUACACUUGACUGAUCUGCCCCCCACUUGGGUAUAAGUCUGGGCACCUUGGUCUAAUUCCCGAUCGGCCUUUAGUGUGUUGCCUGUCGUGGUUAACGAUUUUCUAUUGGUUGUGUUUGAGCUUGCGGCCUAUCAGCUUGUUGGUGGGCUACUGGCCUACCAAGGCGGCGACGGGUAGCCGGCCUGAGAGGGGGGACGGCAAAAUUGGAACGGGGAUACGACCAAGACUCCUACGGAAGGAAGCAGUGGGGAAUAUUGCAAAAGGGGGGGAAGCUGGAUGAAGCGAGGCGGCGUGAGGGAUGACGGCCUAUGGGUUGUAAACUCCUUUCGUCCGCGAGGAAGAAACCGGGUUGGAAGGGUGGUGACGGUAGUAUAAGAAGAAGCACCGGCUAACUACGUG
This 494-nucleotide ribosomal RNA is filed under the name uncultured bacterium. RNAcentral describes it as "partial 16S ribosomal RNA". It matches the Rfam family "Bacterial small subunit ribosomal RNA", at positions 28 to 507 of the family's 1533-position model. The record is from RNAcentral.